UCAGAGACGAUUAAUCGAUUAUGGUAAUUAUGUAACCAUAAGUAAACGAUACAAUGCGUGUAGAUCAUAGAUAUAUCAAGAUUAACCAUCUUUUCGGUAAUUAGAUGGUAAUUUACUGUAAUUCGACAGAUUUUACGGAAGGUAUACAUAUGAACGAUAAAUGACGAUGAAUCGAGUGAGAUUUACCACAAUUCUAGCCAAAAAUCUCGAACGAAGAAUCCAGAGAGAAUUUGACCCAACGACUACAACGAAGAGAUCAGAUACUAUCGGAAAGAUAAUACGAUACAAAUCUGGCACGACAAUCAUUGCUCAACAAUACCCACCACCUAUACAAUCCCAAGAACUUACCAGGAUCAGCACUGGCUGCAAGGGCUUCGCCCAAUCUGGGUACUUUACUAGGCACAUCAUCGCUGCUUCUACCAUCUUUCGCUUUGGAUCUGGAAAACAAACGAACAAUUAAGAAUCUAAUUCAAAUCUAUCAAUCACACAAAAGAUUGAAUAAUGGAUCAGGUAACUUACUCGAUUUCUUUCAUCGUACCCGGUGCGCCGAAAUUCAUGGAUUUAACGAAAUCAUUCAUGUUGAGAGAUUUCAAAACAUCGUAAUUCAAUUUAUUCGAGAUUUUCUUCUCUCUUAAUACUUUUUCUACAGCUUCUCCUACAAUAAAAAAGAGAAAAAAAUUCGUAAAAAUAUUUUUCUGAUUGUGAGAUGAACAUACCUACAUUAGAUGAUCAAAUGCUCACCUGCUGUAGCAGCUCCAGCGCCUUUGGUACGUUUCUGUCGUUUACGUUUUUUAUCGCCUUUACCAUCUUCUUUCUCUUUCAAUAAUUUCUCUUCUUCUUUCUCUAUAAAAUUAAAUCCGCCAAUUAUAAAAAUAUUCCCAAGUUCAUUAUUACUAAAAAAAAAACAACAGAUUUUUAUAUAUUCGUACUUUUUUGUUCUUCCAAGAAAGCCGCAUACAGCUCCAUCCAAGCCUUCUUCUUUUGCUGGAACUCGUCAUCUGUGACGAUAUACGAAUCUAAUUCAUCAUCGUCGAGAUCAUCUAAGGAAUGUUCGAUUUCAAAUUGGUCAGUUUUUUCGGUGCUUUCAGCCGGUUUCGGUUCAGGAUCAGCCGCAGGUUGGGCAGGUUCGGUUUCUUCGCCAGAAAUUCCGAUCGUUUCGAGAGUAGGACCUGCGAACAAAAACGAUAUAGGUAAAUUUCACCUAUUUUCUUCGAAGAAAAAAUUCCCAGUUGUGAGGGUAAUUUUUAUACCUAAUCCUUUCGGGGAAGCAGCUUUUUCAUUUUCGGCCAGGGUGGUA
Planococcus citri (citrus mealybug) is the source of this 1297-nucleotide long non-coding RNA. RefSeq lists it as uncharacterized. The transcript has 2 exons. The record is from RefSeq and is a predicted model, not a curated record. Lineage: Eukaryota; Metazoa; Arthropoda; Insecta; Hemiptera; Pseudococcidae.